Molecule: long non-coding RNA, 1056 nt
Filed under: Brassica napus (rape)
Lineage: Eukaryota; Viridiplantae; Streptophyta; Magnoliopsida; Brassicales; Brassicaceae
Description: long non-coding RNA (BNAP_LNC007766)
Source: RNAcentral
AGAGUUUUUGUUGAUAGACAGACAUUUUUUUAGAAUAUUUGAUCAAUAGGUUCUUUUUUAAAAUAAUUUUUUAAAAAACUGCUAUUUUGGAAAAGUUAUCAUUUUUGUAGACAAAUAUUGUAGAUUUGGUAUUUUGAUUUAGAAAUUAGUAUUCCAAGAGUUUUUGUUGAUAGAUAAGCAUUUUUUUAGAAUUUUUUAUCAUUAGGUUGUAUUUUUUAAAUAAAUUUUCUAAAAACUGCUAUUUGAGGAAACUUAUCAUUUUUGUAGAGAAAUAUUGUAGAUUUGGUAUUUUGAUUUAGAAACUAGGAUUACAAGUGUUUUUUUUAAUAUAUGAGCAUUUUUUAGAAUUUUUUAUCAUUAGAAUGUAUUUUUUAAAUAAAUUUUCUAAAAACUGCUAUUUUAGGAAAGUUAUCCUUUUUGUAGAGAAAUAAUGUAGAUUUGAGAUUGUAAUUUAGAAAGUAGAUAACAAGAGUUUUUGUUGAUAGAUAGACAUUCUUUUAGAAUAUUUGAUCAAUAGGUUCUUUAUUAAAAUUAGUUUUCAAAAACUGCUAUUUUGGAAAAGUUACCAUUUUUGUAGACAAAUAUUGUAGAUUUGCUAUCUUGAUUUAGAAACUAGGAUUACAAGAGUUUUUGUUGAUAGAUGAGCAUUCUUUUAGAAUAUUUGAUUAAUAAAUUUUUGUUGAUAGAUGAGUAUUCUUUUAGAAUAUUUGAUUAAUAAACUAGGAUUACAAAAGUUUUUGUUGAUAGAUGAGUAUUUUUUAAAUCAAUUUUCUAAAAAUUGUUAUUUUAAGAAAGUUAUCAUUUUUGUAGAGAAAUAUUGUAGAUUUGGUAUCUUGAUUUAGAAACUAUGAUUACAAGAAUUUUUGUUGAUAGAUGAUCAUUCUUUUAGGAUAUUUGAUCAAUAGGUUCUUUUUUAAAAUUAGUUUUCUAAAAACUGCUAUUUUAGGAAAGUUAUCAUUUUUGUAGAGAAAUAUUGUAGAUUUGGUAUCUUGAUUUAGAAACUAUGAUUACAAGAAUUUUUGUUGAUAGAUGAUCAUUCUUUUAGGAUAUUUGAUC